ACAAGUUCAGCCAUCACUUGGCUGACAUGCAUGUUGGCCAUUUGUCCUCAGUGAACAUGAACAUUUUGGUUGCUGCCCAAAAGGCUCUCAAACACCUGCAAUAACUACUUUCUUUUGUUUACUGUGCUUGAGCCUUCACAGGCAAAUCUUACUCCUUCCCCUGGGCUCCAGCAGGUAUUACACUGCCUUUAUAUAUUCCUGAGGAAAGCUAUAUAGAAGUUUUAAGAGAAUGUUUUCCACUGGAAACUGUGAUUAAAUCAAAAUAUUCAACAAGGAAGUGUUGAUUAGCACAUGCACACCCCUCCAAAGAUGAGAAGCUGAAGUCAUUUUUUCAAACAAGGUAGAUGUGAUCUUCAUUACGUUUAAUGUUAUUUGGCAGGUUUUUGGAGAAGGGAGUCAUUUAAAGUUUGAAUGAAUUCAAUGUGUUCAUAUUUUAUGUAAAUAAUCAAAAUGACACAGAUGAAAUAAGACUUUUAGUGGCUUUAAAAUUAAUGUUCCCUAAAUUCCAUUUCACAGGAAAUUAAAUUUUUGUUCUGAUUCAAGCCAAAAGGAAAAUUUUGAAAUGGCAGGAUUUCCCGUGAGCCAGAGGCUGAGCUUCCCAGCACUGCAGGGCUGCGAGCACCAGCAGGGCGAUGAGCAAUCGGUUGCUUCUUUCAGACUUGUGGGAGGUAGAAAUUAACCAUCCGAAAGCUGUCUGCUCUGCAGUCUAUCAUCUGUCCAGCCCCAGGACCAUCAGGUGUGACAAGCAAGGCAUCAGAUGCGAUAUGGCACAGAUUGGAUGUUCAGGUAGACUAACCUGAUCUCUGACAACUUGAAGCAUGUCUCUGCUGGGAUUCAAGCACGCGGGCAGGUCAAAUGGCAAGACUCUGCAUUGUCUCCAGGUGACAUCAAGAUGCCACA
This is a long non-coding RNA of Cygnus olor (mute swan), 900 nucleotides long. RefSeq lists it as uncharacterized. The transcript is spliced from 3 exons. The record is from RefSeq and is a predicted model, not a curated record. NCBI's taxonomy places the organism in Eukaryota, Metazoa, Chordata, Aves, Anseriformes, Anatidae.